GGUUUUUUGUUAUAAUAAAAAAUCAGGCCUGCUCAAUGCUUUAGUAAAUAGCCGCGGUAUUAUGACCGUGCAAAGGUAGCAUAAUCAUUAGUCUUUUAAUUGAGGACUGGUAUGAAAGGUUAAACUAGGUAAUUUUGUCUUAUAGUGAUAUUUUGAAAUUUACUUUUUAGUAAAAAGGCUAAAAUUUUUCUUAGGGACAAGAAGACCCUAUUAAGCUUUACAAAGAAUUUUCAUUUUUCUUAAAAUGAGAAUAAUUUGUUGAACUGGGGCAGUGAAUAAAUUAUAAUUUUAUUUUGAAAUUAUGAAAGCUAUUCUUGGAAAAACGAAGAUUUUUCAAACAGGAAUAAGUUACUAUAGGGAUAACAGCGUAAUUCCUUUUAAGAGUUCUUAUCAUCGAAGGAGUUUGCGACCUCGAUGUUGGAUUAAAAUGUCUAAGUCACGCAAUAGUGACUUAAGAAAGUCUGUUCGACUUUAAAAAUUUUCCA
RNAcentral lists this ribosomal RNA (485 nucleotides) under Opistophthalmus boehmi (golden scorpion). Its description in RNAcentral is "partial 16S ribosomal RNA". It matches the Rfam family "Bacterial large subunit ribosomal RNA", at positions 1887 to 2600 of the family's 2925-position model. Lineage: Eukaryota; Metazoa; Arthropoda; Arachnida; Scorpiones; Scorpionidae. The record is from RNAcentral.